Molecule: long non-coding RNA, 1442 nt
Organism: Megalobrama amblycephala (Wuchang bream)
Lineage: Eukaryota; Metazoa; Chordata; Actinopteri; Cypriniformes; Xenocyprididae
Exons: 3
Source: RefSeq, a predicted model, not a curated record
UCCCUGAUUCUGAUUGGUUGAGACACGUUCUAAGCCAUUGUAAAUUACUCUACAAACAUACACCUUUGACCUCAUUACAUCAGUAUUACUGCUCCACUGCGUCUGUUGCUGCAGUUCUGUGUAUUAUGUAUUUCAGCAAAAGUUACUGUUUAUUAUUUAUGAAGUAUGAGUGACCCCUGCUGGCUUUAUGUUGCAUCAUUCAUUCACAUUUAAUUUUGAGACUACACCCUUCUUCUCAUCAAAGAAAGGCUUCUUCACACGUGAGGAGCCGGUCAAUGUCAGGGGUCGGAAUGACAAGGAUAACCAUGAGGGAAAGAGGUGACAGAAACAAACAGAGAACAGAAGGAAAACAUGAUGGCACUCAGACUGGAAGAGGAUGUGCUCUCAUGCAUGAAGACAACUGCUCCUCGCUGAUAGAAGACAUGUUUCGGGAAGGCUUCGAGUGUCAGACGUGCCAAAAUAUGAGGCUGGAAACAGCUUCACUAGAGAGAGCAGCUGUGCUGAGCUCAGAAACAAAGUGGAGAUCGUCCAAAACCACUUUACCAACUGGCCAGCUGGGACAACACCACAGUGAUUCAGCCAAGCGAUGUGACAUUAGUCCAGGAACAUUGGUCAUGAGGUUCUCUGGAAAUAUCCUUUAAUAAAAACGUACAAAUAAUGCCCAGCACAAUUUGAGUAUGAAUGCAAAUGGUCUUUGUUUUAGGGUUGCCAAAUCAAAUGGUGGUGACAGAUGUUGCAAAAAGCUCAAAAAAUGUGAUUAUGCAUUUAGAAAAUCAAAAGGGUGUUGUUUCACGCUACACUUCAUGUGUUGUAAACCCCGAAUGACGCUGUCUGUGAAAUGAAUGCGGUGCUCAAAGGUUACCGUGAGUUGUUUCGCAACAAAAAGCCAAUCAUAAAAGGCCUCAAAUGCUUGCCUCUUUAAAUAUUCAUGUGCUCUGAACAUCACAAAAACGUUCAAAGUGUUUCGUUUCAGCAUCUGAGAGAAAUGCUCUUGUGUGUCUUAGAUUUUUGUUUUUGUAGUGUUUCAGAUAUAACUUGAGUGAAGUUCUUUCCCCAUGACAUUCUCAUUCUACAGAGCAUUUCUACACGCUAUUGAUGAGCAAUAUUUUUUAGCCUGUUUUCUUAGUCUAAAGUGAAAUUUAAGACUAGACUGGUAUAUACUGUAAAUGACAUCAGAGCAAAUGUCUUAGUUCAAACAAAACGGAGAAUUAUGUAAUCAUUUACUCGCAUCAUGUCAUUCCACAUCUUUUACUUUCAUUGAUAAUGGAUGGAUAAAAGGGAAAAAAAUACAUUUUUCAAAAUAUCAUCUUUUGUGUUUCACAGAAGAGAGAAUGUCAUACACACUAUAAACCCUAACGCUUAAAAUAAUUCAUUGGUUUGAGUACAACAAACUUAAAUUAAACAAAUUAGUUAAGUCAAAUGAACUUUUAUGAAUAUUUAGC